UACGUAGGUGGCAAGCGUUGUCCGAAAUUACUGGGUGUAAAGGGAGCGUAGGCGGGUAAUUAAGUUGGAUGUUUAAUCUAUGGGCUCAACCCAUAUACGCAUUCAAAACUGAUUAUCUUGAGUGAGGUAGAGGCAGAUGGAAUUCCUAGUGUAGCGGUGGAAUGCGUAGAUAUUAGGAGGAACACCAGUGGCGAAGGCGGUCUGCUGGGCCUUAACUGACGCUGAGGCUCGAAAGCGUGGGGAGCAAACAGG
Molecule: ribosomal RNA, 252 nt
Filed under: uncultured bacterium
Lineage: Bacteria
Description: partial 16S ribosomal RNA
Rfam family: Bacterial small subunit ribosomal RNA
Source: RNAcentral